UUGUGAGGUUAAGCGACUAAGCGUACACGGUGGAUGCCCUGGCAGUCAGAGGCGAUGAAGGACGUGCUAAUCUGCGAUAAGCGUCGGUAAGGUGAUAUGAACCGUUAUAACCGGCGAUUUCCGAAUGGGGAAACCCAGUGUGUUUCGACACACUAUCAUUAACUGAAUCCAUAGGUUAAUGAGGCGAACCGGGGGAACUGAAACAUCUAAGUACCCCGAGGAAAAGAAAUCAACCGAGAUUCCCCCAGUAGCGGCGAGCGAACGGGGAGGAGCCCAGAGCCUGAAUCAGUGUGUGUGUUAGUGGAAGCGUCUGGAAAGCCGCGCGAUACAGGGUGACAGCCCCGUACACAAAAAUGCACAUAUUGUGAGCUCGAUGAGUAGGGCGGGACACGUGGUAUCCUGUCUGAAUAUGGGGGGACCAUCCUCCAAGGCUAAAUACUCCUGACUGACCGAUAGUGAACCAGUACCGUGAGGGAAAGGCGAAAAGAACCCCGGCGAGGGGAGUGAAAAAGAACCUGAAACCGUGUACGUACAAGCAGUGGGAGCCUCUUUUAUGGGGUGACUGCGUACCUUUUGUAUAAUGGGUCAGCGACUUAUAUUCUGUAGCAAGGUUAACCGAAUAGGGGAGCCGAAGGGAAACCGAGUCUUAACUGGGCGUUAAGUUGCAGGGUAUAGACCCGAAACCCGGUGAUCUAGCCAUGGGCAGGUUGAAGGUUGGGUAACACUAACUGGAGGACCGAACCGACUAAUGUUGAAAAAUUAGCGGAUGACUUGUGGCUGGGGGUGAAAGGCCAAUCAAACCGGGAGAUAGCUGGUUCUCCCCGAAAGCUAUUUAGGUAGCGCCUCGUGAACUCAUCUCCGGGGGUAGAGCACUGUUUCGGCAAGGGGGUCAUCCCGACUUACCAACCCGAUGCAAACUGCGAAUACCGGAGAAUGUUAUCACGGGAGACACACGGCGGGUGCUAACGUCCGUCGUGAAGAGGGAAACAACCCAGACCGCCAGCUAAGGUCCCAAAGUCAUGGUUAAGUGGGAAACGAUGUGGGAAGGCCCAGACAGCCAGGAUGUUGGCUUAGAAGCAGCCAUCAUUUAAAGAAAGCGUAAUAGCUCACUGGUCGAGUCGGCCUGCGCGGAAGAUGUAACGGGGCUAAACCAUGCACCGAAGCUGCGGCAGCGACGCUUAUGCGUUGUUGGGUAGGGGAGCGUUCUGUAAGCCUGCGAAGGUGUACUGUGAGGUAUGCUGGAGGUAUCAGAAGUGCGAAUGCUGACAUAAGUAACGAUAAAGCGGGUGAAAAGCCCGCUCGCCGGAAGACCAAGGGUUCCUGUCCAACGUUAAUCGGGGCAGGGUGAGUCGACCCCUAAGGCGAGGCCGAAAGGCGUAGUCGAUGGGAAACAGGUUAAUAUUCCUGUACUUGGUGUUACUGCGAAGGGGGGACGGAGAAGGCUAUGUUGGCCGGGCGACGGUUGUCCCGGUUUAAGCGUGUAGGCUGGUUUUCCAGGCAAAUCCGGAAAAUCAAGGCUGAGGCGUGAUGACGAGGCACUACGGUGCUGAAGCAACAAAUGCCCUGCUUCCAGGAAAAGCCUCUAAGCAUCAGGUAACAUCAAAUCGUACCCCAAACCGACACAGGUGGUCAGGUAGAGAAUACCAAGGCGCUUGAGAGAACUCGGGUGAAGGAACUAGGCAAAAUGGUGCCGUAACUUCGGGAGAAGGCACGCUGAUAUGUAGGUGAAGUCCCUCGCGGAUGGAGCUGAAAUCAGUCGAAGAUACCAGCUGGCUGCAACUGUUUAUUAAAAACACAGCACUGUGCAAACACGAAAGUGGACGUAUACGGUGUGACGCCUGCCCGGUGCCGGAAGGUUAAUUGAUGGGGUCAGCGCAAGCGAAGCUCUUGAUCGAAGCCCCGGUAAACGGCGGCCGUAACUAUAACGGUCCUAAGGUAGCGAAAUUCCUUGUCGGGUAAGUUCCGACCUGCACGAAUGGCGUAAUGAUGGCCAGGCUGUCUCCACCCGAGACUCAGUGAAAUUGAACUCGCUGUGAAGAUGCAGUGUACCCGCGGCAAGACGGAAAGACCCCGUGAACCUUUACUAUAGCUUGACACUGAACAUUGAGCCUUGAUG
This 2116-nucleotide ribosomal RNA is filed under the name Escherichia coli. Its description in RNAcentral is "partial 23S ribosomal RNA". It matches the Rfam family "Bacterial large subunit ribosomal RNA", at positions 1 to 2136 of the family's 2925-position model. The record is from RNAcentral. Lineage: Bacteria; Pseudomonadati; Pseudomonadota; Gammaproteobacteria; Enterobacterales; Enterobacteriaceae.